Molecule: ribosomal RNA, 389 nt
Filed under: uncultured bacterium
Lineage: Bacteria
Description: bacterial SSU rRNA
Rfam family: Bacterial small subunit ribosomal RNA
Source: RNAcentral
GAUGAACGCUGGCGGCGUGCUUAACACAUGCAAGUCGAACGGUGAAGCAGAGCUUGCUCUGUGGAUCAGUGGCGAACGGGUGAGUAACACGUGAGCAAUCUGCCCCUGACUCUGGGAUAAGCGCUGGAAACGGCGUCUAAUACUGGGAUACGAGCCGUGAAGGCAUCUUCAACGGUUGGAAAGAUUUUUCGGCAGGGAUGAGCUCGCGGCCUAUCAGCUUGUUGGUGAGGUAAUGGCUCACCAAGGCGUCGACGGGUAGCCGGCCUGAGAGGGUGACCGGCCACACUGGGACUGAGACACGGCCCAGACUCCUACGGGAGCAGCAGUGGGGAAUAUUGCACAAUGGGCGCAAGCCUGAUGCAGCAACGCCGCGUGAGGGAUGACGGCCU